RNAcentral lists this ribosomal RNA (484 nucleotides) under uncultured bacterium. RNAcentral describes it as "partial 16S ribosomal RNA". It matches the Rfam family "Bacterial small subunit ribosomal RNA", at positions 30 to 507 of the family's 1533-position model. The record is from RNAcentral.
AUUGAACGCUGGCGGCAUGCUUUACACAUGCAAGUCGAACGGUAACAGGGUGCUUGCACCGCUGACGAGUGGCGAACGGGUGAGUAAUGCAUCGGAAUGUACCGUGUAAUGGGGGAUAGCUCGGCGAAAGCCGGAUUAAUACCGCAUACGCCCUGAGGGGGAAAGUGGGGGACCGAAAGGCCUCCCGUUAUACGAGCAGCCGAUGUCUGAUUAGCUAGUUGGUGAGGUAAAGGCUCACCAAGGCGUCGAUCAGUAGCGGGUCUGAGAGGAUGAUCCGCCACACUGGGACUGAGACACGGCCCAGACUCCUACGGGAGGCAGCAGUGGGGAAUUUUGGACAAUGGGCGCAAGCCUGAUCCAGCCAUGCCGCGUGUCUGAAGAAGGCCUUCGGGUUGUAAAGGACUUUUGUCCGGGAGCAAAUCCUAGUGGUUAAUACCUACUGGGGCUGAGAGUACCGGAAGAAUAAGCACCGGCUAACUACGUG